Non-coding RNA from Aegilops tauschii subsp. strangulata, 7444 nucleotides. NCBI's taxonomy places the organism in Eukaryota, Viridiplantae, Streptophyta, Magnoliopsida, Poales, Poaceae. The record is from RefSeq and is a predicted model, not a curated record.
CGCAGGACGAAAGGUGGUGUUUGCAGCUGUCGGGGCACCGGGUCGGAAGGACUGAAUCGCCCUGCAUGAAUCGACGGUGCGCGUCCCGUCGCCGGCGCCUGCCGACGCCACACCUCCGCUCCCAACCUGGUCCAGAAGCGCCCUGCCCUGAUUGAACAGCCACAUCUCUGGCGAGUCCAAGCCUACGACCGAAUCGGCCACGGCCGGACCGGCGGCGCCCAAAACAUACGCCACCUCGCACACUACUCAAUCCAGGGGCGGAGCCAGAAAUUUUGUGAAGCGGGUUCACCGUCGCGCACGUUUUACAAAAAAGUCCCUAGGUUUUGGCGUAUCUAACCCGCAGUCCACCGAGUAAAAAACGAUUCGCCAGGUAAUUCACCCCCAAUUUUCCCCUCUGCGCCGCCGCCCCCAAUUUCCCCUCUGCGCCGCCACGCGCCAGAGAUGACCGCGCCCGACCACCCGAUUCCGCGCCUCUCGCCGCCGACGAGGGCCACGCCGGCGAUCUCCCCUCAGCCCGCCUGCCUCCUCUUUCCUCUCUGUUCUCCUCCUCUCUCCGCCCCCUGUUCAGCAGCGACCGCCCAAACUCGCCCCGAUCCAUGGCCAUCUCCUUCCGCCCAGCUCCGGUCCGUCACCGGUCGUCCGUGGCACGAGCGCUGCGCCUCCUCUUCAACCUCCUCAUUCCGCUCCACUCCUCCUGGACUGCCCACGUGCGCCUCCCGAGCCCCCAUGGACGCCUUCUGCGGAGCUGAGGUAUCGACGGUUGACCGCCGCCAUGACCGGCCUCGUGCGCAGCUCCCUGUCGCCAUCCCCUGCGCCUCCUCCCGCGUCUCCCCCAUCUCGCCUAUGCAGCACCGUGGCUGCACGUCGCCAGCGCCGUCUGCUGCAGACCCGCUCUCAACCCCCUGCGGUUCUUAUUGGUCUCUUCUUUGGAUGAGCUUUCUGAACACAGUCUGAAGCUUCCAAGAAGAAAAUUCCAUACUCUACUACUGACUUGCUUUCCGGUGUUCUGGUGAGAGAAAAUUUAGAAGCCAAGUUGUGCUAUAGGACAUAGGUAAACCUGCUUAUCUCAUUUAACUUAUGUUCUUGGAAACUAUCCUAAUAUCCUCCUGAUGCUUCCUAUUAUGUUUACACAUACCACUCUAUGGCAACGUGAAGAUAUACUAUGCCAAGGAGCUAAAAAAGGCGCUUGUUUUAUGAGUGCUCAGGCUCUGGUCUGACUUGUGCGGGCAAAGUUGAAAAAUGGUCGUAUGAGCCGAGUCACAAGGAACAAAGGAGUUCUUCAGUGAACUGAGGGAGCAUUUGACAUGUAUCGUGUAUGUGUACACGCACAUUUAGAUGGAAUGUGCUUAUGUUCCAGGGAAACAUUGUUUGUGCUUUAUUCGAUAUCAAAGAAAUAUUGGCAGGAUCCUACGCUUCCAUCAUUAGGGUUAAGCCAUAUUUACUGAAAUUUUUCUAGAGCUAUUCCCAUAGCCCAAACAAUGAAUUCUAGAAGCUAUGUAUUUUAGGCAAGAUCCGUCAGCGGCGAGGUACCCGAGUCUGAAGCAAUGCAGCAAACGUCCAAGUGAUUCUCCUGACCACGGCGGGGUACCCAGGUCCAAUGUGAUUAAGUGGUAGACACGGCAGUAGCAGAGUUGAUCAGCUCCAAGCAGCUUUGCAAUCGUAUACAUAUGUUCUCACCACAAUUAACUACACGUAGGCUCUGUCUCCCUCCUCUCCUGAGAAUUUGACAAAUGUUGUUAUCAAGGCAUUUUGUUCUUCUAAUCGAUUCUAGAUUAGAUAAACAUGUACUAUGUGUUUCAUAUGAACUGUUAAGAACCCAACAACACAUGGUUAUUUCAUCAAUCUUAUCAUCUUUUAGUUAAUGGAAUUAUCUAUUGAUUGUAGUAUUAAGUUUGCUUGUGUUUUCAGCUAAAAGAAAGGAAAAAAAGGAACAACAUACAUUUCUGCAUUGCUUCAUCCUUGCGGCUGAGAGAGGCAUGCGUUCUCCUGUGAAGAGUGCAUAAAUUGUUUUUAUUCGCUUGAUAUUUAUUUAUGCCAGCUAAUUUGCAGGUCUUACAAUUAAUACUAAUCUUUAGGCACAGGACCAGGACCACAUGGAUUGCAUCAUCUGGUUUAUGAAAUACUGAAUAAUGUUGUUGGUGAAGCUCAAGCAGGCUAUGCUACUGAGAUUAAUGCAGUCCUUCAUGAUGACAAUUCAGUUAGUGUAACUGACAACGGCCGUGGGGUAUGCAGUUCCUAAAACCUAUGAAAGACUUCCUGAAUGUUCAAUGCUUCUACAAAUAUUGUGGAAAAAGUAAUUGUUAUGUGUUCAGUUUUGUGCUGCUGCACGGUGUUUCAACACCCUGAACAUGGCGAUUUCGGGGCCUAUAGGAUGGUAGAUGCCUGGGCCCAUGGCUGCGAGCUCGGCCAUAUAGGCCCUUGAAAACUGACGGCGACACCUCUCUUCGGGCAGAAUGUUAUGCACAAGCACAAUGCCGCGACAAUUUUCAGAGUCAUAGACCCGCUGGGAAUUAGUGUUUGUGUUUUUGUUUUUAUGACGUCUGAACUUUAGCAGACAAUGUUCACUCACACAUGGCACAUGUGCUAAACCAGCCGGCUGUUCGUUGGAAAGUUAUACGAAAUCCGAAGCAAUCCAGCCUUCAAGUGUAUCACCCAUUAUAUCUCUACUCUGUUCUUCUUUGCUCUGCUUUUCAGGAAGAAGGUGGAUUGGUGGCCAUUUCCUGUAUGCAGAGGGGAUGGCAACGACUGUUCCUUGGUUGAAGGAUGCAAUGCAUCUCGCUGAAUUUCAAGCUGUACGUCAGUUAAGAAAGGAGGCUGCAAGUUAUAUAUAGUGAUCUGUAUUGCUUACAUCUAAUAUACAAUCUAUACAUGUUGGUUUCGAAUUAUGUGCUCAUGGUUGUACAAUCGUCUUUCAACUGAAUUACAGCCAAAGUGUUCAUCUUGGCUACUUCUGAACUUCUGCACAAAUUAAAUGGUGGAGUAUGGCCACUACCACCUACAUGGUAAAAUGUGGUAGCCUUAAAUUGUCUUAGGUUUAGUCUCUUCUGUUUUCUUGUGUUCUACAUAAGUCUAUGAGCCUUAUGUCUCAAUAAAAUAAAAUGUGCGAGAAUAGGACUGAAAAUCAAAGCUAUUCAUCAUUUCGUGUGGGAUGUGAGUCUGGUUGAAACUUGAGUAUACCAACUGGAAUUUUGCUGUUCGACAAUUGGAAAAAUAGCCUACUCGAGGGUGUUUGGCCUUUUGCGCAUCACCAGCCAGUCGCGGCGCUCACACAAGCAUCAUAUUUUGGUCUGGCAUCAAAAGUCCAAGCAUACAAGUGUUACAAUUAUUUAUAGCAAUAUGAAAUAUACUUACCAUUAUAUGCACAGAUAAUCACUCUUCUUUUACGUUAUUAAACAAGAAAUUCAGGCAUUUGCCAUCAACUACAAAUUAAGAAAAAUGAAUAAAGGUCUAAUUUGCCUCCAUUCAGUCUUAUCUGGUCCAGUUUGGCAAUGUAUUAGAUAUUGUUCUACUGGUCAUGAAACAAACCAUGUAUAGAGCUAGGUCCAGGCGAGGUGGAGGAUUCAUUAGUAUAAGUCAGGAAAUGCCCAUCAAAGAAAUGGAAGCUGCUUGGCCAAAGAGGUUUCAGGGUGGUGCCUUAGAGCAUCAAGCGGUGAUAAUGUCGUCACGUCUUAGAAUUUCCAAAUGGUCUUCUAAAAAUUCUUAUCUCAUCCUGGACUAUUUUCACCAAUGAAUCUCAAGCACGACCUCAUCAUCAAUGCGGCAGGUAUGUGGUUAGCAGAAAAAAAAAACCUAAAAGUGCCUUCCUUCAGGCCAUGACCCCUGCAUGUUGCACGUCCCUUAUCCAGAUAUAAGUUAGUUGGGAGAACAUGAGAGUUCUCAGAGUUCAGCGAUUCAUGACCGUCGGAUCGGAUUUUUGAUGCGUUCUGGACCGUUGGAUGUCGCUCCUGGAAGAUCCUGGCCGUCGGAUCAAAAACUAACACUGCUACAAUGAAUAGUUACCGUCGUCUCGUGCCAUCGCGCGUAAUUCCGCUGCCCCACCAAGGGCAUUUCCGUCAUUUCACCAACAGGGGGUAUAAAAAGGAGGCGGCUCCCGUGGCGGAGACCUAGCCGCCGCCGCCUCCUCCCGCACCCGCUCGUCCCUCCUCAUCCACCCAACCCCUAACCCUAGGAGCUCCCCCCGCCGCCGCCAUCUACUUCGCCUAGCCCGCCGGACCGCCGUCGUCCUCACCUGCACAGGCAGGAGGAGCACCCCCACCAUCUCCUCUCCUCCUCCCCUCAUCACGAGCCAGGACCGUCGUCCUCACCUGCACAGGCAGGAGGAGCGCUCCCACCAUCUCCUCUCCUCCUCCCCUCAUCACGAGCCAGGACAAGGAGGGCCACCGUGGCCGAGCAGGUCAGGCGACGCGUCCAGAUCACCAAGGAGCCGCCCGCAAGGUCGGCCAUGGCGCGACCGAGCAGAGCAGGUACUAUGCUUGUCGUGGAUUGCUGCCUCACGUGUACGCAGGGCACAUCUUGGGUGUUUAGGUAGCUGACUUAGCCCCCUAAUUUAUUUUUCUUACUAGGUUUGAUGCGUUUAUGGCUCCCUAAUAAGCAGUUCUCUUUGCUGCAUCAUGUUCUUCUGGUUGUUUGAUUGAUUAGAGAGCCCUGCCACAUUUAUUUACGAGAGGAGGUGCUUGAUAGAUAGGGAUUUAGUAGAAGAAACUGCUAUAUAGGGAUGGCCGUUGUAUGUUUACUAAAGAAAAUUUUGAUGCAGGCCUCGGGCUUUCUUGGGUUAAGUGAAAGAGCUAGAUUAGCCAGCCAGUUCUCUUUGAAUUUGCACAUAAAACCUUCAUCUUUAGUACCUGAGCUCAGACGUCUUGUGAAUCUUUAGUACCUGUUUGUGCUCCUGCGAUGAAUUCCAUCGUUUCUGUUAUUUCAACAGAACAAAAUGGGAUUUUCUCAAUUGGAGCUUUGGAUGAAAUUAUGAAUUUAUAGGCCUGGGAAUUUUACAUCUUCUUAUGUAUUUUUUCUCUUUCUCAUGUUAAGUUAGCAUUUUGGUGUUGUGUGUUUCCAGAUUGUGCUCUCACUAACUUAUUUGGCCCCUGUACUAAAGAUGCAUGGCUUGAUUUUAAAAUUAUGGUUACGAACACAAAGCUAAUUGGUACUCUGUUCCACACUACUGUUCCUUGGACCAUGAUCUUGCAAAAAAGAGGAAGCCAAACACAGGUACAAGUGUUUUCCUUCGCCCAAUCCAAUGGAUUUUUCUUAGGGCCGUUGACUACAUCAUUUAACCCCACAUAAAUGGUUGUGAACCAGAUAAAACUAAUUUCAUUUCUCUUUUUAUCACUAUUCUUAUGUUAUCUGAAAAAGCUGGAGCGCAUAACACUUUUAGUUUAGCCACAGGGUGCUUGAUGCUUCAGCCACAGGAAAAAAUCAAGGCCCUUUUAGUUUAUCAGCAAGCCGCUUUCAUGUAGUUUAUGCUCUUCUUCCCUUUUUCUUAUCAUACAUAAACCAAUUACUCGCUUAUUUUCAUUCCCCUAAUUACUUUGAGAUAUUCCAUACCAUGUUAUCUGAAAACAUUACCGAGUUGCUUUAAUUCAUUUUUGUUCUGCUAUCUUCUUUCAGGUCCCGAUUCAAUAACUUUCUUAUAAGUUUCUCUAUUUUAACCUAUUAGAUUCCAAAUCUGACUUUGGGCGAUUGCUUGAGGGAGUUUCCACUUCUCUUAUUGUGUGUGAUUCUUGCUAUAAUGGCCGAAUUGGUCUAGUUGUGUGCAUACUGCUGAAGCACUUGUUGAGUUUAAAUCAUCUGAAGAAUGGGACAGAAGUGAUGAUAAUAAGAUAACAGUAUUUCUUAAGCCUAUAUUUGGUUUUUCCUUCCUCUUACACUAAAAUGUGUACUCUCAUUUCUUGAGAACAGAACUAGGGCAGUGCACAUAUAUGAUUUAUUUAUUCUUCUUUCAUAUUGGAGAGAGUGGCAGUCCCUUGCCGAUUACACUAAUUUUGUCCUAUUAGAGUGUUCUGUAUAUUCUCUAGCUACUUAAUGAUUUCUUUCUUGGCUAUGCUUAAUUUGGUAUUUGAGGUGCUAACAAAUAGGAGCUGGGACAGAACAAUGUCGUUUUAUUUACUUCCUCCUCCUAUUCUAAUGCUGAUGCUUUGCUUUUGUGAUUGCAGAUGGACUUGCAAUGUUGAGCAGAUCACCAUGUUAAAAGAUGAGCAUUUAGAGUAGUGUGUGCUCGCCAAGGACCUUUUAUGCUCAUGUGUAAUCAUCAAUUCUUUUUUCCUGACAUUUAGCAUGUAGCCAACUUUUACUUGUAUGUACAAUAUAGUACCUUGCUCAGUUAUAUGACUUGCACACAGAAUAUAUUGCAUCUGUAGGUCAUGUGACCUGCCUAUGGAAGAUAUGAGUGUCCUCGGAAAAUAUUAUGAUGUUGGAUCAACUAUGGUUGCCACAUUAUGCGAGUCAACAUUUAGUGAUCUACAAGUUUAGACCAUGGCACUAUGUUCAAUGCUCAGCAAAUCCACCCUUUGCAGUUGGGACGGUGGCGUGCCAGAAGGGCUGUCUUGCGAGUUGACAGGAGAGGGAGUACACCGGCGAGGCUUCUGAGAUGGCUGAGGGAUCUGUUUAGGGUUUGCUGGUUCAUUUCUCCUGGCCGGGGUCUGCUUGUGCGCUUGGCUCCCAGGCCGCGCUGCUCGAAGUUGCUUCGCUGGUUUCCUUGCAGGCACCCAAGCUUUUCUUCGCGCGAUGGCAUCAGGCGGACGGAGGGAGCUCUUCUCCGUCGGUGUGAUGAACAACGACCGUGAUCUCCGUUCCACAUCGUCACCAGCUAGCAAGAUGAAGCGUUCUGUCACGAUUAGGCCGAAGGCUAUGCUUAGCGUCGUUCUUGCUGAAGCUGGUUUACCUGAGGUGAAGUACAAGACCUACGCAUCUUACCGUGGCGGUGUGGCGGCUACUGCUAUCUUCUGGCCAUCACAGUCGCGUUCGUCUACAGCGGCAGAGCAUAUGAGGAUCAAUGGCGACCCAGCUGUGGAUGCCAAUGAGGCCAUGCAAAAUGCCGCUACAUGGUGCUUGGAGCAUCUUCAGGCCACCAUGGGUAUUGAAUUUGACUGCCCUCAAAUGCAGAAAAUUAAGACCGAGAUGAAGUACCUAUCGAGCAGUGUCGACGAGAAGGACAGGAAUAUCAGAGAUCUGAAGGCUAAGGUGGAAAAAAGGAAUAUGUGGGUCAACGGGCUUACCAAGGGCUGGGGUUCACUGGCAGAUGACCUGCUAGGUUCUGCAUAUGAUCAAGCUUUGCUUCCGACUGGUGCUUCGGUAGUUCUACAUUUUUUAUCAUGGCUGAAAAUGCAUUCCACCGUGUAGGCUUACUCUCCUAUGAUGCUUUCUACGCUCUUGUGAUAAGUAAAUGACAGUACUUGCUUCGAUCAUUUUGAUUCUGAUUAGAUCUUUAUUUCCAUUUAACUUCCUGCUA